UAAUGAGGUAAUACUUUAGCCCCCUA
Molecule: non-coding RNA, 26 nt
Filed under: Mus musculus (house mouse)
Lineage: Eukaryota; Metazoa; Chordata; Mammalia; Rodentia; Muridae
Source: RNAcentral